This 357-nucleotide ribosomal RNA is filed under the name Staphylococcus aureus. RNAcentral's name for it is "bacterial SSU rRNA". It matches the Rfam family "Bacterial small subunit ribosomal RNA", at positions 1 to 347 of the family's 1533-position model. The record is from RNAcentral. Lineage: Bacteria; Bacillati; Bacillota; Bacilli; Caryophanales; Staphylococcaceae.
UUUAUGGAGAGUUUGAUCCUGGCUCAGGAUGAACGCUGGCGGCGUGCCUAAUACAUGCAAGUCGAGCGAACGGACGAGAAGCUUGCUUCUCUGAUGUUAGCGGCGGACGGGUGAGUAACACGUGGAUAACCUACCUAUAAGACUGGGAUAACUUCGGGAAACCGGAGCUAAUACCGGAUAAUAUUUUGAACCGCAUGGUUCAAAAGUGAAAGACGGUCUUACUGUCACUUAUAGAUGGAUCCGCGCUGCAUUAGCUAGUUGGUAAGGUAACGGCUUACCAAGGCAACGAUGCAUAGCCGACCUGAGAGGGUGAUCGGCCACACUGGAACUGAGACACGGUCCAGACUCCUACGGGAG